RNAcentral lists this ribosomal RNA (1502 nucleotides) under uncultured bacterium. Its description in RNAcentral is "partial 16S ribosomal RNA". The record is from RNAcentral.
UACGGUUACCUUGUUACGACUUAGCCCCAGUCACUGGUUUUACCUUAAACAGCUUCCUCCUUGCGGUUGGAACACUGUCUUUGGGUACCCCCAGCUUCCAUGGCUUGACGGGCGGUGUGUACAAGGCCCGGGAACGUAUUCACCGCGCCAUGCUGAUGCGCGAUUACUAGCAAUUCCAACUUCAUGGAGUCGAGUUUCAGACUCCAAUCCGAACUGGGGAUGCCUUUAUGGGAUUGGCUCCACCUUGCGGCUUGGCAACCCAUUGUAGCAUCCAUUGUAGCACGUGUGUAGCCCUAGGCGUAAGGGCCAUGCGGACUUGACGUCAUCCCCACCUUCCUCACUACUUGCGUAGGCAGUCCCAUUAGAGUGCUCAGCAUUACCUGAUGGCAACUAAUGGUAGGGGUUGCGCUCGUUGCGGGACUUAACCCAACACCUCACGGCACGAGCUGACGACAGCCAUGCAGCACCUGUACAAGAGCCAUUGCUGGAGGGGUACUUUCAUACCCUGUCUCUUGCGUUUCAAGCCUAGGUAAGGUUCUUCGCGUUGCAUCGAAUUAAACCACAUGCUCCACUGCUUGUGCGGGCCCCCGUCAAUUCCUUUGAGUUUCAACCUUGCGAUCGUACUCCCCAGGUGGAAUACUUAAUGCGUUAGCUUCGACGCUGGGCAUAAAAGCCCAACUUCUAGUAUUCAUAGUUUACAGCGUGGACUACCAGGGUAUCUAAUCCUGUUUGCUACCCACGCUUUCGCGCCUCAGCGUCAGUUCUAGACCAAGAAGCCGCCUUCGCAACUGGUGUUCUUCCAGAUAUCUACGUAUUUCACCACUACACCUGGAAUUCCGCUUCUCUCUUCUAGACUCAAGGCUUUGCAGUAUCAAAGGCAGUUCUGCAGUUUAAGCUGCAGGGUUUCACCUCUGACUGACAAGUCCGCCUACGCGCCCUUUAAACCCAAUAAAUCCGGAUAACGCUUGGAUCCUCCGUAUUACCGCGGCUGCUGGCACGGAGUUAGCCGAUCCUUAUUCGUAAGGUACAUACAAUACAGCACACGUGCCGCUUUUUAUUCCCUUACAAAAGAAGUUUACAAUCCAUAGAACCUUCUCCCUUCACGCGACUUGGCUGGUUCAGGCUCGCGCCCAUUGACCAAUAUUCCUCACUGCUGCCUCCCGUAGGAGUCUGGUCCGUGUCUCAGUACCAGUGUGGGGGACCUUCCUCUCAGAACCCCUAAUGAUCGUUGCCUUGGUGAGCCGUUACCUCACCAACUAGCUAAUCAUACGCAUGCCCAUCUGUAAGCUAUAAAUAUUUAACUUCAAAACCAUGCAGUUUUGAAGUGUUAUGCGGUGUUAGUCCGAAUUUCUCCGGGUUAUUCCCCGCUUACAGGUAGGUUGCAUACGUGUUACUCACCCGUGCGCCGGUCGCCACCAUAGUAUUGCUACCAUUGUGCUGCCCCUCGACUUGCAUGUGUUAGGCCUGUCGCUAGCGUUCAUCCUGAGCCAGGAUCAAACUCU